RNAcentral lists this ribosomal RNA (2817 nucleotides) under Triticum aestivum (bread wheat). Its description in RNAcentral is "partial small subunit ribosomal RNA". The record is from RNAcentral. Lineage: Eukaryota; Viridiplantae; Streptophyta; Magnoliopsida; Poales; Poaceae.
AUGGAUGUGCCUCUGCCUUCACAGUCCAACCGUGCUGGAUGCAAUGGAAGCGUCGGCAGCCCGUCGGAUGAUCCAUAUGGCGUUACGGCCAUGAUGAACUUUGAUGGGUACUCAGAGCUCUGCGGCAGCCCUUCGUUAGCUGACCAGCUGUUCUCGUUGCUGAACGACUCGUCAACACACCAGAUGUUUGCUAUGUGGUCAUCCUUGGGCUCUUCGCCACGUGCUUCUGGUGUCAGUGAAGAUAUGCAGCUCGAUGCCUAUUCCAGUGUACCUGGGGAUCAAAAGGUUGAUUUGGUAUCUUCGGUGAAUCCAGCUGAAAAUGGGACCGGGAGAAUGGCCAAGAGUUCAGGCGACCUUGGCUCAGAUGGUGAUCCCGAGCAAGGAAGUACUAGCGUGGUUCCGAGGCCUAUUGCCGGCAACUUACUCGCUGACAGGAUGCUCAUGGCUCUGUCUUUGUUCAGGAAGUCACUUGGCGGCGGUGUUCUUGCGCAGGUUUGGAUGCCUGUUGAGCAGGAGGGGCAUGUCGUGCUUAGUACAUGUGAACAGCCGUUUCUGCUUGACCAAGCUCUUGCUGGGUACAGAGAAGUAUCCAGGCAUUUUGUGUUCUCUGCUAAGGAGGAGACCUGCCUUCAACCAGGGCUUCCAGGGAGGGUCUUCAUCUCCGGUGUGCCAGAAUGGACCUCAAAUGUGCUCUACUACAGCAAGCCAGAGUAUUUGAGGAUGGAGUAUGCUCUUCACCAUGAAGUUCGAGGAUCACUUGCAAUGCCGAUAUAUGACCCUAGCAAGGGCUCUUGCUGUGCAGUGCUUGAGCUUAUCACAAAGAAGGAGAAACCUGACUUCGAUGCAGAAAUGAACAACCUUCGCCAUGCAUUGCAGGCUGUGAACUUGGAGACAGCAAAAGAUUGUAUCGAUCAGAAGGUUUAUUCAGCAAAUCAGAAAGCCACCUUCACUGAGAUUUUGGAUGUUCUAAGAGCUAUUUGCCAUGCACACAUGCUUCCUUUGGCCCUUACAUGGGUCCCUUCAUCAAAUGGCAGUGAUGGUGGUUAUGUUGGACAUGAUAAUGUCCUUGAUUCUCAGUCAGGAAAAGCGAUACUCCGCAUCCAUGAAUCAGCGUGUUAUGUUAAUGAUGCAAAGAUGCAAGGUUUUUUUCAUGCAUGCACUGAAACUCACCUUGAGAAAGGGCAAGGUAUUGCAGGCCGAGCACUCAAGUCCAAUCUGCCGUUCUUCUCUCCUAAUAUAAGAGAAUACGGAAUUAAGGAUUACCCACUCGCACACCAUGCUCGUAAGUUUGGUCUGCAUGCUGCUGUAGCAAUCCGGCUAAGGAGCACAUACACUGGUGAUGAUGACUACAUACUAGAAUUCUUUCUACCAAUCAACUGCACAGGCAGUGAAGAACAACAGAUGUUAUUGAAUAACCUGUCCAGUACUAUGCAAAGAAUAUGCAAAAGUUUGCGAACAGUUUCUGAAGCAGAGGUUGAUAAAGUUGACGCUUGUACUGCAGUAAUGUAUAAGGCAACCAGUGGAAGUUGCUUGCCUACUGGUCAGUCUGGGAGUUCUUCACAUGGUGAUCAACCUGCCACAGAAGAGGCAUUCCAGGAUCUAUCUUUAAUUGAUAAGCAAGGGGACAUGUCCGAGCAGGCACAGUCUAGUUCAAUGCGACUUGCGGAGAAAAAGCGCAGUACAGCGGAGAAGAAUAUUGGCAUGGAUGUUCUCCGUAAGUACUUUUCUGGGAGCCUAAAGGAUGCUGCAAAGAGCCUCGGUGUUUGUCCAACAACCUUGAAACGGAUAUGCCGCACACAUGGAAUUUCGCGAUGGCCAUCUCGCAAGAUAAACAAGGUCAACCGUUCGUUAAAGAAGAUCCAAACUGUCAUUAACUCGGUCCAUGGAGUGGACAGCUCUUUGCAGUAUGAUCCAGCUACUGGAUCUCUUGUUCCAGCAGUUUCUCUGCCAGAGAAGACGUCAUUCCCUUCAUGUGAUGCUGUGUCUAGUCCAUCUGUUGGGAAAACUGUGGAUGAAAAAUCUGGCCCAAAAUCUGAGCAAGGGUAUUCGUCACCUGAAGGAUGGGAAAGAGAUAGCUGUCAGUUGCAGCGCCCUGAUGCGCAGAAAGGGGAAGGCGAUGAAUUUCACAUGCAGACAACUAACUAUAGUGGCAGUGGUGAUCACGGCUCUUAUGGUCCGAAUGUCACACAUCAUAUUAUUUCUGAAGGAACACAAGGACCAUUAUAUCCCACUGGUGCUGUUAGUGCUUUACAUGACAAAGAAACAGGUUGCAUCGAACCUUUGCCCUGUGUCCUCCCAAGCAUCAAGACUACCAGGGACCAAAUAGUGGGAAGGAACUCACCACCCAUGCAACAAGCAGAUAUUGAUAUGUUUGAUGAUCGCGAAGGCAGGGAGCAUACUCAUCCUUCUACCUCUGGUAUGACAGACUCUUCUAGCGGCAGUGCAUCAAGCCACCCUACAUUCAAGAAGAACCCAGCACGCCCACUUAAGGACAAGAGCAGCCCUGCACUUACGGUCAAGGCGACGUACAAUGGAGACACCGUGCGGUUCAAGUUCUUGCCAUCGAUGGGCUGGUACCACCUGCUGGAAGAAAUAGCCAAGAGGUUCAAGCUGUCGACCGGGGUGUUCCAGCUCAAGUACAAGGAUGACGAGGACGAGUGGGUCAUCAUGGCGAACGACUCCGAUCUCCAGGAGUGUGUCGACGUCAUGGACUCGAUGGGCACGCGAAACGUGAAGCUCCAGGUCCGGGAUCUCCCGUGCCUCAUCAGCAGCUCGGGCAGCAGCAGCUGCUUGCAGCUGGAAGGACACAAUUCAUGA